UUUUCAUGGCUGAAGACACUUGCUGUUUUUUUAAUCAUUUAAACUCAAGUUUCCAGACUGCAAUCAAAAGAUUUCAAUUGAUUCUUUCGGUGGAACUGUUAAUUACUAUAGUCAAUGAUUAACUUGAUGGAAAUUUGCAGCCAACUAUGUUUUUCAUAUUUUGUUUUAUCAGAGUUGAAUUCAUCAGGAGUCUGUCUCAGAAGGUUGAUACUAAACUGCUUCCUAUACCAGUUCUUCCCUAUUAGUUCCUUUCCAGAUCCGGUCCAUUGACUGAUAAAAACGCUACAUAUACUUUUUUGGGUUACAAUUUGGUGUAUCAGGCUCUCUCUUAGCUAGCUGAAACGAUAAAAGGUAAUUACUUUCAUUUGUAAUUGUAAGUCAAAUUCGUUCCACUAUAGAUGAGUAGCUGUUAUUU
Molecule: long non-coding RNA, 415 nt
Filed under: Lupinus angustifolius (narrow-leaved blue lupine)
Lineage: Eukaryota; Viridiplantae; Streptophyta; Magnoliopsida; Fabales; Fabaceae
Description: long non-coding RNA (LANG_LNC002655)
Source: RNAcentral